RNAcentral lists this ribosomal RNA (574 nucleotides) under uncultured bacterium. Its description in RNAcentral is "partial 16S ribosomal RNA". It matches the Rfam family "Bacterial small subunit ribosomal RNA", at positions 355 to 919 of the family's 1533-position model. The record is from RNAcentral.
UGGGGAAUUUUGGACAAUGGGCGAAAGCCUGAUCCAGCAAUGCCGCGUGUGUGAAGAAGGCCUUCGGGUUGUAAAGCACUUUUGUCCGGAAAGAAAUCCUUGGCUCUAAUACAGUCGGGGGAUGACGGUACCGGAAGAAUAAGCACCGGCUAACUACGUGCCAGCAGCCGCGGUAAUACGUAGGGUGCAAGCGUUAAUCGGAAUUACUGGGCGUAAAGCGUGCGCAGGCGGUUUGCUAAGACCGAUGUGAAAUCCCCGGGCUCAACCUGGGAACUGCAUUGGUGACUGGCAGGCUAGAGUAUGGCAGAGGGGGGUAGAAUUCCACGUGUAGCAGUGAAAUGCGUAGAGAUGUGGAGGAAUACCGAUGGCGAAGGCGAGCCCCCUGGGCCAAUACUGACGCUCAUGCACGAAAGCGUGGGGGAGCAAACAGGGUUAGAUACCCUGGUAGUCCACGCCCUAAACGAUGUCAACUAGUUGUUGGGGGAUUCAUUUCCUUAGUAACGUAGCUAACGCGUGAAGUUGACCGCCUGGGGAGUACGGUCGCAAGAUUAAAACUCAAAGGAAUUGACGGGGU